This is a long non-coding RNA of Neopelma chrysocephalum (saffron-crested tyrant-manakin), 1644 nucleotides long. RefSeq lists it as uncharacterized. The record is from RefSeq and is a predicted model, not a curated record. Lineage: Eukaryota; Metazoa; Chordata; Aves; Passeriformes; Pipridae. The transcript has 5 exons.
GUGAGUGUUCAGGUUUUAUUCAAUCAUAAAUGCUGGAUUUUUAUAUUGCUGCAACAAAUUUUUUUAUUCUGCAGCUGCGACAAAUCAAAUGAUGCAGCCUCAUCUGUAUGUCCAGACUGGGUUUUAGAAGCUAGUGGUUUGUGCAAUCAUUUUCUGUUUUGUUUAAUCUAGAUUGGCUACAUGGAUGUAGAAGAGCCCAGGUUCUGAGCACAGCCCUUUAAAGGUGUAAUAGUUAAAUUUUCAGGAUGUAGAACUAUACAAUACUAUUAAUUAAAGUAUUAAAACAAAGGCAACUAAACAGGGCAAAAGGAAAUGCAGUUUCAUACAGAGAAUGUAACUGCAAUAGAGAAAACUUACAGACAUAGAGCAUUCAAAUCAGAAAUGGAAUGGAUUUAUAACUAUCACUAAUAUUUCUCCACAUAUAUAUAAAAUUUUAUCACAGAUUUAUAACAGCCUGUGAAUAACAAGAUUAAGAAAAUAAUACCUUGAAAAGAAAUAAAUUCAAGCCUCCACUGAAAUACCAAGAAACUCUUCAGGAUAUGAUAACUGAAAAUGCAUUUUUCCUUCAGAAAAUGGGGAUAAAAUUAAGAAAAUGAAAGGAAGUUUUAUAGUAGAAUACAUUAGCCAGACUAGAAAGGUCAUUAGAAAUUUUUCAGAAACUAAAAAUGAAUUUUUACUUUAUCAGCAGUGGCCAGGAAAUUUUCCUGAUGUACUAGAAAAACAUCUGCAGAAACAAAUAUUUUAGGUAUACAAUAUGAUUUUUAAAAUUAAUUGUUGAACCCUAUUCCCAGGGAUGUGUGUGUGGGUGUGGUACAGUGGGAAGCAGAUUAAAAAGAGAAUCCUUUAUCCAUACAUAGCCCUGAUAACUAUGGCUAAAUGCAGGAUUUACAGCUGAACAUAUUGUUUGGUUUUGUUUUGGCAGCAAAUCCAGAUGAUGGUGUAUUAUGUUCAUCUUCUGAUAACUAGGAUUACCUAGCAUGCUGAGAUGAUCAUUCAGACAAAUCAAUUCUCAAUCUUCUCGAAAAGAGCACAUCAGGGGUCAAAAAAGCAAUCCUCCUUCUGGUCCUACAGUGAACUGCUGGCUCAGAACAGAGCUCAUUUCUCUGAAACAGCAAGCACUGACCACUGCCUGAGGCAGUCUUCUAGACGAGCUGAGGAAUGCAGAACCCAAGAAGUGAUUGGUGCAGUAAUGCAAAGAGGGGACCAGGCACAGAGCUUGGAUCUCCCAAAACUCAGCCACUUCAUUUGAAAUGAUAACAAGUCUGAGCUGGCUGAAGUGAGAAUUCAAAACAUUGGACAACCUUGCAAUGUUGGUAACUUGACUGCUAUGUUUUCCUAAUGGAGGAAUCACAUCAAAAGCACAUACACUCUACAAAUUCAACUGGAGCAGCAUGAUAGCAAACAGUAAGGUACUGUUUUGUGUUGCACUUGGCCAGAAAACUUUUCUUGAAAGCUACAGACAAUCCAUGGCUCAUUUCACCCACCCUGAGAAUGAAACAGACCCUGCACUGAGAGAACAUAAUACCAUGUUAGGAUGAAGAAGGACAUCCACUUGGUAAAACAGAAUUAACUAUUGACACUACUGAGUGACAAUCUUCUAGUCUGAAACUUAAAGCUAUUAAACAUGAAACCAUGGUAAAGUCU